RNAcentral lists this ribosomal RNA (253 nucleotides) under uncultured bacterium. RNAcentral describes it as "partial 16S ribosomal RNA". It matches the Rfam family "Bacterial small subunit ribosomal RNA", at positions 524 to 776 of the family's 1533-position model. The record is from RNAcentral.
GACGAACCGAGCGAACGUUGUUCGGAAUCACUGGGCUUAAAGGGCGCGUAGGCGGGUGCUCAAGUCCGGGGUGAAAUCCUCCAGCUCAACUGGAGAACUGCCUCGGAUACUGGGCGUCUCGAGUGUGGUAGGGGUGUGCGGAACUAUCGGUGGAGCGGUGAAAUGCGUUGAUAUCGAUAGGAACACCAGUGGCGAAGGCGGCGAUCUGGGAAGAUACUGACGCUGAGGUGCGAAAGCGUGGGGAGCAAACAGG